This 590-nucleotide ribosomal RNA is filed under the name uncultured bacterium. Its description in RNAcentral is "bacterial SSU rRNA". It matches the Rfam family "Bacterial small subunit ribosomal RNA", at positions 53 to 675 of the family's 1533-position model. The record is from RNAcentral.
ACAUGCAAGUCGAACGAGAAAGUGGAGCAAUCCAUGAGUAAAGUGGCGCACGGGUGAGUAACACGUGACUAACCUACCCUUGAGUGGGGGAUAACCUGGAGAAAUCCGGGCCAAUACCGCAUAACACCUACGGGUCAAAGGAGCAAUUCGCUUAAGGAGGGGGUCGCGGCAGAUUAGCUAGUUGGCGGGGUAAUGGCCCACCAAGGCAGUGAUCUGUAUCCGGCCUGAGAGGGCGCACGGACACACUGGAACUGAAACACGGUCCAGACUCCUACGGGAGGCAGCAGUGGGGAAUUUUGCGCAAUGGGGGAAACCCUGACGCAGCAACGCCGCGUGGAGGAUGAAGUCUCUUGGGACGUAAACUCCUUUCGACCGGGACGAUAAUGACGGUACCGGAAGAAGAAGCCCCGGCUAACUUCGUGCCAGCAGCCGCGGUAAUACGAGGGGGGCAAGCGUUGUUCGGAAUUAUUGGGCGUAAAGGGUGCGUAGGCGGUUCGGUAAGUCUUGUGUGAAAUCUUCGGGCUCAACUCGAAGUCUGCACGAGAAACUGCCGGGCUUGAGUGUGGGAGAGGUGAGUGGAAUUUCCGGUG